Molecule: transfer RNA, 72 nt
Organism: Gossypium raimondii (Peruvian cotton)
Lineage: Eukaryota; Viridiplantae; Streptophyta; Magnoliopsida; Malvales; Malvaceae
Rfam family: tRNA
About the family: Transfer RNA (tRNA) molecules are approximately 80 nucleotides in length. Their secondary structure includes four short double-helical elements and three loops (D, anti-codon, and T loops). Further hydrogen bonds mediate the characteristic L-shaped molecular structure. tRNAs have two regions of fundamental functional importance: the anti-codon, which is responsible for specific mRNA codon recognition, and the 3' end, to which the tRNAs corresponding amino acid is attached (by aminoacyl-tRNA synthetases). tRNAs cope with the degeneracy of the genetic code in two manners: having more than one tRNA (with a specific anti-codon) for a particular amino acid; and 'wobble' base-pairing, i.e. permitting non-standard base-pairing at the 3rd anti-codon position.
Source: Rfam
UCCUCAGUAGCUUAGCGGUGGAGUGGUCGACUGUUAACUGACUGGUCGUAGGUUCGAAUCCUACUUGAGGAG